Micropterus dolomieu (smallmouth bass) is the source of this 4247-nucleotide long non-coding RNA. RefSeq lists it as uncharacterized. The record is from RefSeq and is a predicted model, not a curated record. NCBI's taxonomy places the organism in Eukaryota, Metazoa, Chordata, Actinopteri, Centrarchiformes, Centrarchidae. The transcript has 3 exons.
UAGCAGAGGAGUGCGAGGGGCAGCCAGGCGGGCAAGCUGUCCACAGUACUGUGCAGUCAUCACUUCUUGCUUCAGACAUGAUUGGGGAAGUUUGGUAGGACACAUGGGGUUGCAGACUGUCCAAGAAUGCUAAAGAGUUCAACAGUGAGCACUGCUCCGCAUAGAACCCGAGGCUGAAGUCCGCAAACAUGGAGGACUCAGUGUAAUUUCCAAGUGCAACCUAACCACACAACAGUUCAGCCUGAGAUUUGGGUGUAGUAUGCUAGUAGCGACUAAUGCAGCCUUGAGCCUCAAGCAGACAUGAGGAGCAGCUACACAUGUCUGCGUAUGUUGUGAUUGUUCAGUCAUCUCCAGCGUGGAGCCUCAGCUGCCUGCGGUUGCUGUGUGCCUGUGUUUCUGCAGCAGCCUCCACACGUGAUUAAUCAUGUGAAGUGGUAAAAAGCACAACACUGUCAAGACUGUGAGGGGGACCUAAUGGAGUUGAAAAUGGGAUGUUUUGUCGUGAUGCAAUCCAUUUUGUUCCACCUUCGCCCGCUUGCUUGCUUGCUUUCACCAUGCACUCAAACAGCAAAUUCUUCUUCUUCUUCUUGUGCCAGGUACCAAAAGUGAAAGCUGUGUCUAUUUUCAGCAAAGGUCCAGACAGAAACAACACUGCUGAGAAGUUUUGGUUGUUAUAAAGAUGAGUCCCUGAAUUUGGUCCGCUCCGUCAGUUAUGCGCGUUUGAGCAGCGCUCCUCAGCUCUUUUAUACAAGGCUGUAUAUUGGCCUCAGCACAGUUCACUGGAGACUGGGGGAUGAAAAUCGUUUUCAUUUUCCACUUUUAAGACUAAUCCACUGAUUCCAGGGUAGAAAAUCAAGUAAAAUGCAUGUCCAGCGUGAACUCAAUUUAUUUUGUGCUGUUUGCUGCGUCUGUUAGACCUAAACUGACCUGCUGCUCAGCCUCUCACUCUGUUACCCCUUCUGCAGCUGAGGGUUCAACAUGAAACCUAAUCAGCUGUAUGACGCCAGACUGGGGCUGAAUGUGAUAAAAUGCCAACAGCGGAGCAGAUUAAAUGAACAAGGUAAUGAAGGUAAUGAAUGAGAGUGUUACACACUGAAGAGUUUAAUUAACCUCGCCUCCCACCAGCCUCUCUCCACUGUAACACCUUUGUCACUGUAUCGCAGCCCUCAGCUGUGUCGACCGCCCUGGGCAAUUUAUGUGGCCUUGUGUGCCAGUGGCAAUUAAUCCCCCCUCUUGCCCCAAGGCCUUAUCCUGCGUCUGUGUCCUUUAUCUCCAUGUUUGCCACGCAUCCAUAAGCACAAUACUUUACUUGACCUACUCUCCAUCUCUUCCUUCCCCUCCUCCUCCACUCCCUUUCUCUUCCUCUCUCCCUCAUUUCUACAUUUCCCCCCUCUCAGAUGCAGACACCUGCGACCACACACAGUGAACGCUUCCUCACCGUCAGCAGUCCCUGGCAGCUUAAUAUGCACACACAUCCACUCUUGAACAGAUAGUCUUGUCAGAUUGAAAUGAGGCAGAAGUAUUCAUACAUAAACAUACACACUCACCCAUAUUCAUGAGGACCUCCCACGGCCUUGGCUUUACUUCUCUCCUCUCCCGUUGUUCAGCUCGGUCGAACAAACCCGCUCUCAUUGUUCAAAUAUUGACCGCGAUCGCUGGCCACAAUCUGACAACUUUAAUACACCUCAGCUGUCUCUCUUUCCCAUUCCUGUCUCUCCUCCCCCGCCAUCCACACACACACCAUCCUGCCACACCAGUGCUACAUCUUGUUAAAAAGAGUUAGUGAAGCUGAAAGGCCAAUCACAUUAACAGGGAGGGAGUGUCAAAAAAGACUGCAGAGAAUAUGGUGGAAGGGUCAAAUCAAAUGGACACUUCUCAGAUUUUAAUUGCAAAUGCCUAAUUGCUACCAUAAUUAUGAGUAAUAAGACUGUCCCGCGCAGAUCUUGAAUGGAUCACACAACAAUUAACUCACCAGUGCCGCUGCUGGAUUUGACGGCGGGAAAUGUCUUCGUAGAUUAGCGUUUAAUCCCGAUGCCCAGGAUCUCAGAAGUCUUUUGAAGAUGUGCUACUGAAUGUCCUUCUCCGCAGCUGGCGUGGAAGGCCUCGCCUUGGGUGAUGGGCUUCAGCCAUUUUAUACUGGAGAGCACCCGGCUCUAAUCAGUCAUGGUGGAAGAGAGGGGAUUUAUCCAGCAGUUCGGACUCGAGGAUGAUUAGAUGCUCAGAUGCAGUGAGCGGGGUUAGCGAUUUGGCCAGGGCAUGAAUGUUACUGUUCCAGUUCUCUCUCUCUCUCUCUGAUAAAUGUCAUGUGAAGUUGGAGGGGCCAACCUUGAAACUUGCUUUCAUGGCAUGCCAGCCCUCUGCCACUUUUAAAGACCGUGAUUGCAAUUACCAACACGGUUCAAUCGCGGUAAUUACUGCAGUUAAACUAUUAAAUAGCCUGAGGCCAAAAUAAAACUUGCUCACACUCUCAUCUGAGAUGCCUGGACUCUUGUGGAACAGUUUAAUUAAAUGAUUACCUGUCUCUGGUGUAUACUUAAUUGUGUACAGAGCUCAGGGCAAAGUGUUUGCUAUCUCCAAGUGGGUCGUGUCUCUAGUCCUCAGGCCAGUCUUUCUCUUAUUUGCCCUAUUUUUUUUCUCCAUGUUUGUUCAAGCUCUUUUUAGCAGCGAAGGACUGCCUUGUCAGGGAGGACAUGCGAAGUCUUUGCCUCUGUCUAUCUUUAGAACAGUCGCUCCUCUGUAUGCAUAAUGUCUCGCACGUUUUUGAAGCAUCGGGCAUUAUCUCUGGCUGGUCAGGGAGUCCCUUUCACGGCAUUGUGUGGCUUGAAAGGGCCAUCUGAGUCAUUGGGAGAGAUCAUUUUCCGACACGGGCUAAACAGAAGGGAAAGGAACGGGAGCCGAAUGUGUGAGGCAGAGCCCGAGGGUUUGCUUUGACUCAUACCCAACAUCACAGCCUUUAUACUAAUCCAUAUUUAAUUAGACUUUCUUUCAGUGCGCCCUCCCUGCUUGUUUACCCUUGCUGUGUUGUUUUAUGGGAUGAGGAGGGAGGGAAGGGCAUGGGUAGAAGGUAGUGAAGAUGACAUGGGAUUACUAUUAAUAAGCACAGGAGGGAAGGUAGAGCCUAGUGAGGGCUCUGGGGACCUAGCUGUGUUUCAUUUCAUUAAUAGGAUAUUGUAAUUCAAAAAACACCCAUCAGCUCUGGAACAAUAACCUGCCUCGACUCAUGUGAUGUGUUGAAAUUUCAAUCGGUUUGUUAUUAUGUUAGCAGAUUCACAGAAACGCUGGUGAGUAAUAAGUUAUGUUUUAGACACUAAUGAAGGGAUGGAGUUCUGUAGAUGGAGUGGCUGAUUAGCAUUCAUCAGGUGCUUUUGAAGCCUUUAGUGGAAAUGAUGUUCACAGAACUUUCUGCUCCGUUAAGUUCAAAUAAAUGUCUUCCCCGUCUUGUCAUUGGAGAAUGUCUCAGGAUGACUGACUUUUCAUCAGAUCCAUUAUUAGAUUCUGAAAGCUUUGCUCUGCUCUGUCGUGGAGCAAUAGAAGCUUGCAAGUCCAUUAAACUGUAUAAAAAAAACUAUUUUCCCUUCCCCUCAUUUCUGAAAUGAACAUUUCAAUCAGUGUGUUGCCUUUGGGAAGGAUGGCGGGUGAAGGUCAGUAUAAAUUUCAGCAGGAAUAAUUAGAUUCUUUAUUAGUCUUUGCCACUGAAUUCCGCUCCAAAGAGGAAUGGUGCAAAGGAGCAGCGUUGGCCGGGUGUUGACUUAAUGUCACCCAUCCAUUUUGCUUUCGCUCUGGUUGGCCUCGCAGGAGCUGGAAAAUGGGAGGCUCAUUCAUCACUGGUUUUCUCUGGCUCCGGGCACCAACAUGUAUUCAGUCAUAGCUCGAGUGACAUGCACAGACACACACACUCUGGAACAACAGAGGGUUGCACACACACACACAGAUGCAUCUCAGUGUGAAUAUAACAAGAAUAACUAGUAUGAAGUGUAAAAAUGUCUCAAGAUGUUAUGGCACAAAAACACUCAGACCUGUCACAUGUAUUAACCGCCACACUCCCAUUCCCUGAACCAUUCGUGUGUGCAGAUAUAGUCAGACCUCUGACGCUGUGUGAUUGAUUGACUGACAGCAGCCCAGGCAUCUGUAUGCUGGCAGCACAGUGUGACACGAGUGACGUUCAGCUGAAUGUUUGCGAGCUCUCACUUCUCAUACAUUUUGAAGCGAUCCUCCAUCAUUUUCCCAUGUUUAUUUCCCUCUUAUCC